ACAUGCCAAAAAAACAGCAAAUUACAAGUCGUUACAGAGAUUACGGAGCCAAAAAAUGCGAAGAAGAUGAAACAUUAACAAAGCAAAUAUCAUUAUUUCAUAGGAAAAGAUAAAUGUGCAAGAUAUACAAGAUAAAUCAAGCAGGAAAUGUUUGUUCCAGGGUGCAGGCCGCUCCAUUACUGGGGGAGUGGUCCACCGCUGGUCUCGUCCACCGGGCCAGACGUUCUUUGCUGUGGAGAUGGAACACUCUGAAGCCUGUUGGAGCGAGCUGCAGGGAGCCCUCGGAGUGCGGAACCAAGUACUGCAGGAGAAAUGUCUGCAGUUUUCACGUUUCUUCCUGUUAAACAUCUGCAAGCAAGGGAAUCUCAAGGCUAAUCACCCAGUAUGGAAUAAAUAUCAUUUCAACCGAAUAAUGGAAAACUGGAGAACAAUUACUGAUUAUGCAUGAGCAGAGGAAUCGAUGUCCAAAAACGAAACAGGAAAAAUGCUGCUUUCUGAACUGUCUGGUUAGCCAUUCCUCUCACAUUUACUGAUCCCAGUUUUGUACCAGGUACAGCAUUGUCUCAAGCAAACAAGCUGUUGUCCCUGUACUGCAUGUACCAAAGAUCAAUAUCCACGUUUCUUAUCAGUAACAGCACUAAACCACUGGAUGUUACUUUAUCUGUGUGAUCUACAAUGUUUGAUUAAGGAAAUACAGACAUAACAGAAACAAUUUGAAGUACAUUGAGUUUAUUGAUAUGUCGUUUGUAAAAUGUGCGGCAAUCGAGCCUGUAUUUAUUUGUAAAUAUGUUACAUGCUGGAGAGUUUGUAAAUAUUGUAAAACUUGUGCAGAUGCUUUUUUAUGUUUGUAGAAAAAGUGCAAGUACGGUUCUUUUAACAGAGCAGAAUUACGACAUGCUAGAUAAAUACAUAUCCUGAAGCAUUUAAGACAAUAAAGAUUAUUUUCUUAAAACAAACAUGGGAUACUGAAUGGAGCAAUAACAUUAAAACCCAAAACAGUAAUGAACUAUCAACAGGUAGAAAGAAGCACCCAAAUUCUAAUUGCUGUAGUGUAGUGACAAAUGUUCACAUUUUAAUUACGGCCACUGUUGUGUUUUUACAAAUAGAAAACCUGCCAGUUUAAAAUACGGUUAAAAUAUUUUUGGAGGUACAUACAUUUGAAAUGUUCUCCAAGUAAAAGAUCAAUAUUUUUGAACAAUCUAGUUGAAGCAACUGGUUCUCAGAAGUUAGAUGGGACAGCCCUCACAUGUACCUAGUUUCCCUUAUAGGUAUAUUUUUCAAUUUACACACUACAAAACUGACCACAUCCUUCCUUGGAGGUAAAGUGUUCAAUCAGGGUCAAUUUUUGUUCAGUGCAGAGGACUCAUACAUAUCAGUACAUUAGAGGAUAGCUUCUUCAAUGUGUUCAACCAUCAACCAUUUGGUUGGCCUCACACUCGUCAUGACAUCAGCGAUCUGAAUGCAUUCAUUCGAAAGUUCUCAGGAAACAUGUAUGCCUAUCAUUCCCGUAAUUCAUAAGUGGUUAGCUCGUUCAGUGGGUAACUAAACCAAAUGACCAAACGAAUCAGAACACACCGAUAUGGAUGUUCACUUGGAAUUGCAUAUACAACUCAGAGUGGCAAUAAAAUCUAUUUAACAAUGUUCCAUCAUCAGGCUGCUGAGCCUGCUAACAGUAGUAUAGAAAUAUUAAAAAGUGACAUUACGGUGGUUGUGUAACAAGUACACUGGGCCACAGUGGAACAAAGGGGAACUUAUUUCGGCACAUUUCCAGAUCUUGCUGACUGCAUCAUAUUAUACAGUACAGUGUCAUUUCAUUAGCGAUCUCUGACAGUCAGACCUGAUCCUGCUAGCUGGCCUAUACUCUGCAGUCUAUGAGAUCAUACGGAAAAUAAACUCCCCCACAUAUCUUCACACGCAUCAUCGUUUCCAACAUCUCAUACACACACACACACACACACACACACACUUCCUCACACACAGUAUCGUAUCGAUAAUCUCUUAACCUCUUCCCUAAAUCUUCACCAUUAGAUCGGGUUUUUGGGUAAACUUGGUUUCAGUUUG
This is an RNA transcript of Hypomesus transpacificus, 2061 nucleotides long. It is a transcript of the gene named liver-expressed antimicrobial peptide 2, with no coding region annotated. The transcript has 3 exons. The record is from RefSeq and is a predicted model, not a curated record. NCBI's taxonomy places the organism in Eukaryota, Metazoa, Chordata, Actinopteri, Osmeriformes, Osmeridae.